GAUGAGAACGCAGCGAAAUGCGAUAAGUAAUGUGAAUUGCAGAAUUCAGUGAAUCAUCGAAUCUUUGAACGCACAUUGCGCCCCCUGGUAUUCCGGGGGGCAUGCCUGUCCGAGCGUCAUUACAACCCUCAAGCUCAGCUUGGUGUUGGGCCCCGCCGCCCCGGCGGGCCCUAAAGUCAGUGGCGGUGCCGUCCGGCUCCGAGCGUAGUAAUUCUUCUCGCUCUGGAGGUCCGGUCGUGUGCUCGCCAGCAACCCCCAAUUUUUUUCAGGUUGACCUCGGAUCAGGUAGGGAUACCCGCUGAACUUAAGCAUAUCAAUAAACGGAGGA
Molecule: unclassified non-coding RNA, 328 nt
Filed under: soil metagenome
Description: partial contains 5.8S ribosomal RNA, internal transcribed spacer 2, and large subunit ribosomal RNA
Rfam family: 5.8S ribosomal RNA (bases 5-119)
Source: RNAcentral